RNAcentral lists this ribosomal RNA (526 nucleotides) under uncultured bacterium. Its description in RNAcentral is "partial 16S ribosomal RNA". It matches the Rfam family "Bacterial small subunit ribosomal RNA", at positions 355 to 874 of the family's 1533-position model. The record is from RNAcentral.
UGGGGAAUUUUGGACAAUGGGCGAAAGCCUGAUCCAGCAAUGCCGCGUGCAGGAUGAAGGCCUUCGGGUUGUAAACUGCUUUUGUACGGAACGAAAAAGCUUCUCCUAAUACGAGAGGCCCAUGACGGUACCGUAAGAAUAAGCACCGGCUAACUACGUGCCAGCAGCCGCGGUAAUACGUAGGGUGCGAGCGUUAAUCGGAAUUACUGGGCGUAAAGCGUGCGCAGGCGGUUAUGUAAGACAGAUGUGAAAUCCCCGGGCUCAACCUGGGAACUGCAUUUGUGACUGCAUGGCUAGAGUACGGUAGAGGGGGAUGGAAUUCCGCGUGUAGCAGUGAAAUGCGUAGAUAUGCGGAGGAACACCGAUGGCGAAGGCAAUCCCCUGGACCUGUACUGACGCUCAUGCACGAAGGCGUGGGGAGCAAACAGGAUUAGAUACCCUGGUAGUCCACGCCCUAAACGAUGUCAACUGGUUGUUGGGAAUUAGUUUUCUCAGUAACGAAGCUAACGCGUGAAGUUGACCGCCU